This 833-nucleotide ribosomal RNA is filed under the name Flavobacterium sp. S2W-62. RNAcentral's name for it is "bacterial SSU rRNA". It matches the Rfam family "Bacterial small subunit ribosomal RNA", at positions 77 to 915 of the family's 1533-position model. Lineage: Bacteria; Pseudomonadati; Bacteroidota; Flavobacteriia; Flavobacteriales; Flavobacteriaceae. The record is from RNAcentral.
UCUUCGGAACCAGAGACCGGCGCACGGGUGCGUAACGCGUAUGCAAUCUACCUUUUACAGAGGGAUAGCCCAGAGAAAUUUGGAUUAAUACCUCAUAGCAUUGCAGAAUGGCAUCAUUCAGCAAUUAAAGUCACAACGGUAAAAGAUGAGCAUGCGUCCCAUUAGCUAGUUGGUAAGGUAACGGCUUACCAAGGCUACGAUGGGUAGGGGUCCUGAGAGGGAGAUCCCCCACACUGGUACUGAGACACGGACCAGACUCCUACGGGAGGCAGCAGUGAGGAAUAUUGGACAAUGGGCGCAAGCCUGAUCCAGCCAUGCCGCGUGCAGGAUGACGGUCCUAUGGAUUGUAAACUGCUUUUAUACAGGAAGAAACCCUGGUUCGUGAACCAGCUUGACGGUACUGUAAGAAUAAGGAUCGGCUAACUCCGUGCCAGCAGCCGCGGUAAUACGGAGGAUCCAAGCGUUAUCCGGAAUCAUUGGGUUUAAAGGGUCCGUAGGCGGUUUAAUAAGUCAGUGGUGAAAGCCCAUCGCUCAACGGUGGAACGGCCAUUGAUACUGUUAAACUUGAAUUAUUAGGAAGUAACUAGAAUAUGUAGUGUAGCGGUGAAAUGCUUAGAGAUUACAUGGAAUACCAAUUGCGAAGGCAGGUUACUACUAAUAUAUUGACGCUGAUGGACGAAAGCGUGGGUAGCGAACAGGAUUAGAUACCCUGGUAGUCCACGCCGUAAACGAUGGAUACUAGCUGUUGGGAGCAAUCUCAGUGGCUAAGCGAAAGUGAUAAGUAUCCCACCUGGGGAGUACGUUCGCAAGAAUGAAACUCAAAGGAAUUGACG